RNAcentral lists this ribosomal RNA (478 nucleotides) under uncultured bacterium. Its description in RNAcentral is "partial 16S ribosomal RNA". It matches the Rfam family "Bacterial small subunit ribosomal RNA", at positions 28 to 507 of the family's 1533-position model. The record is from RNAcentral.
GACGAACGCUGGCGGCGUGCUUAACACAUGCAAGUCGAACGGGAUUUAGUAAACAGAAACCUCGGUGGAAGAUUACUAAUGAGAGUGGCGAACGGGUGAGUAACGCGUGAGCAACCUGCCUAUGACAGUGGGAUAGCCUCGGGAAACCGGGAUUAAUACCGCAUAACAUCGUAGAAACACAUGUUUUAACGGUCAAAGAUUUAUCGGUCAUAGAUGGGCUCGCGUCUGAUUAGCUAGUUGGUGAGAUAACAGCCCACCAAGGCGACGAUCAGUAGCCGGUAUGAGAGGAUGAACGGCCACAUUGGAACUGAGACACGGUCCAAACUCCUACGGGAGGCAGCAGUGGGGAAUAUUGCACAAUGGGGGAAACCCUGAUGCAGCGACGCCGCGUGAACGAAGAAGGUAUUCGUAUCGUAAAGUUCUGUCCUAUGGGAAGAUAAUGACAGUACCAUAGAAGAAAGCUCCGGCUAAAUACGUG